UUAAGUGGAACAAAGACUAAAGUCGUCACGUCCUGUGACAACGCCUUCGUGACCAACAUCCUGUUGC
Lysinibacillus sphaericus OT4b.31 is the source of this 67-nucleotide non-coding RNA. The record is from Rfam. Lineage: Bacteria; Bacillati; Bacillota; Bacilli; Caryophanales; Bacillaceae.